GUUGAUGGGAAUGUUGUUUGGCUCGAGAUCAUCCAUGCCCCGGACGAAAGCCAUUGAUCAAAGCCAUGUGUGUAUAUAUAGCAUGGAUAGUGAGGGGAGCCUUUGUAUGAUCUCGGACCAGGCUUCAUUCCCGUCAGC
This 138-nucleotide microRNA precursor is filed under the name Punica granatum (pomegranate). RNAcentral's name for it is "mir-166 microRNA precursor family". It matches the Rfam family "mir-166 microRNA precursor family". From Rfam's summary of the family: This family represents the plant microRNA (miRNA) precursor mir-166. Animal miRNAs are transcribed as ~70nt precursors and subsequently processed by the Dicer enzyme to give a ~22nt product. Lineage: Eukaryota; Viridiplantae; Streptophyta; Magnoliopsida; Myrtales; Lythraceae. The record is from Rfam by way of RNAcentral.